This is a long non-coding RNA of Gadus chalcogrammus (walleye pollock), 4282 nucleotides long. RefSeq lists it as uncharacterized. The record is from RefSeq and is a predicted model, not a curated record. NCBI's taxonomy places the organism in Eukaryota, Metazoa, Chordata, Actinopteri, Gadiformes, Gadidae. The transcript is spliced from 6 exons.
GCCCUCUCUCUCCUGGUCUGUGUCCCUGUUUCCUCUGCCUCGCACGCCCGGUAUUGUAUUGUUGUGUGCCGCUGGCAGCGCUCAGAGCUGGCACUCCGGGAAACAUUCAGGGGCUCGGCGCAGUAGAAGGGAGAGCUGGCAGCUGGACACCACCAACUUAAAUGUCUGGAGGGGAGCAGAAUGGGGGUGACAAACCAGAAGACCCUGCGCUCCGUACCGAGGUGUGGCCGGAGGUGGCCCGAGCGGAGCUCCUGGCGAGAGGAGCGGCCCUGAAGUGGGUGUCGGGGGUCUUCUCUCGGCCGGAGCACCUGGAGAGACUGGGCCAGUAUAGGAAGAGAGAGAGCCAGAGGACCUCCUCCAUACACACCCGACUCAAGGUGACGCCCUCCUGCAGACAAACACACCAACGCUUAGAUAGGUCUAACAUUCGAUAAAACAGCCUCCCAGAACUACAUAUUUGAGGUUGCAUUAUUGAGGUUGCCAGGCAGUUCCCCUACAGGUAAAGUUAAUCUGCACUGUUUAUUAUCUGAAGGGGCUUCUCUGCCCUCCAUCGUCCCGCUUCAGACCAAAACAGAGGCUCAUCCUACUAUGAAGGCGAGUUCGGAUUGGGGAAAUCUACGCUCAUAAACUCUCUCUUCCUGACCGACCUGUACUCCAAGGACUAUCCCGGGCCAUCCCAGCGCAUCAAGAAGACCGUCCAGGUGGAACAAUCCAAAGUGCUGAUAAAGGAAGGCGGUGUCCAGCUCACACUCACUAUUGUAGACACACCAGGGUUCGGAGAUGCUGUGGACAACAGCAAUUGCUGGCAGCCGGUCAUCAACUACAUCGACAGCAAGUGUGAGGACUUCCUCAACGCAGAGUCCAGGGUGAACCGCAGACUGAUGCCAGACAACCGGGUGCACUGCUGCCUCUACUUCAUUGCCCCCUCCGGUCACGGCUUCUCCUCCAGCUCGGGCUCAGCGGUCAGCCUCUAGUUGGGGAAACAGCCCCGACCGUUCUUCUGCCGCUUCCCAGAGGGCCCGGCCUCUUCCCCUGCCUGGUGGGGGGGCGGGCCCCGGAGCUUCUCCCGGGGGAUCCUGGCAUUCCUCAGACGCUCCUGCACAGGGGGAAACGGGCUGAACGCGUACUUACCUCUGCCCGCCACGCCUUCUGGAACGUCAGAGGCCGGCGGGCUGCCUGGGGCCUGGGACCUCUGGCCUUUGGCGAACUGGGAGCGCUCCAUCCCAGAGAGGUCCGCCUUGGCGCCUCCGAGCGCCCGGCGGCGGGCGGAGGCAGUGGCGUUCCGGGACGAGGGGGCGGAGCUCAGCGGGGCGUCCCGCAGAUCCACUGUGAAGGACACUGUUUAAAAGUACACGUUAAGCAUACUUUAAAGCAACAAAUAUACUUGGAAUAACUUUUGUAUGUGUAGCACCUCGCUGAUCAUCACAUGUGCUAGGGCUAGAUUCUAGGUUCUAAGGAGCAGUGUGUGACUAAGUUAAUAACGACACACCAAGACUGAGAGGUAAGUUUGAACUGUGGUUCAUUUAUGUAGCAAAUAAAAUGGUGAAUCCAUACAUCAUUCGAAAAAUAAACCAUGAAAAAUAGAAUAAAUCAAAUAUGUAAAAAAAGAAAAGUAUUUCCCUUCUUUUGGUUCACUUUGGGUUGAUUUACACCUAUUUAGGUCAAUAAAAAUAUUUCUAACGUUGCACCUUUAAGUUGCUAUUUGAAUUAUUAUUCGCUUUUUAGUUGACUCAAUUUAACUAUAGCCUAAUUGUAUCCAAGUGGUGCAAUUUUGAGAAUUUAGUACUAUUUUCUAUUUAUUUUAAACACCAAAUACCCAAUAAACAAAAGAAAUGCAAAUACAAUAAAAUACAACUUAGUGCAUCAAGUAGAAAAAAAAAGAAAAAAGAAAACUAGCAUUAUCUGGGAUCAAUACACUUCAAUUUUGAACAUAAUAUCUAAUCAGUCCUUUUGUCAAAUCCUUCACUUCAGUUGAAGCUCCACUAAAUGUUGCAGACACUUUUGGAAAGUUAAUUUGUCUUACCACACUCCUCAGUUAUCCAAGAACAGGAGCGUGGUCCUGCAGCAUGCAUGAGUGCUACAGCUCGCGAUUGACGUCUUCUAUGGGUAGCUCGCCAUCUUGUUUUUUCUUCGGUUCUGUUCUACCAAACGAUCUCCUCCUCAUAAAAAUAAACGUCUGAGUCCUCAAACGAAUAACAACACAAAGUCCCGUGGCAUAGAAAGAAGUAACACAGAAUCCUCCUAAUAAAAAAAACUGAGUUCUCAACCGAAUAACAACAGAGUCCCGUGGCAUAGAAAAAAGUAUCACAGAAUUCUCCAAUAGAACGUUAAAAUAAAGUAAUCCAAAGUAAUCCAAAAACAAAGGGAAAAAAUGAGGCUCAAUGCUCUUUAAAACCUUGCUUUGUUUUUGCUUUUCUCUAUUUUCUUUUACCUCUUGUUAUUCUCCUCUUAUUACUAGGUUUUUCUGUCUGUCUGUCGCUAGUCUUUACCGCAUCAAACUGGUCCGUUCCGGUUUUUCGCGCUCACUCACUCGCAAGUGACGCUACACCGUUCUGAUUGGUUGUCUACGGUUGCACUCGCUAAAGGGCAAUACACCAAUUAUAUUAUCACAAAGGUACAAUAUAAUAACAACAAAGGUUUUUUACUUUAUAGCCAUGUUUAUAGUUUUUAAAUUGUAGUUGACUUAAUACAACAUGCUAUAUUAGAUACCCACUAUACAUUUAUUACUGUGUUUAACCUUUUAUUUGUUUAGGUCAGUUAACCUGGGUUACAUAUGCUUCAAUUAUAUUUGUACUACAAUAAAGUGUACUGCUUGUUCACCUGGAGGUUUAUGUGGGGGCUUGGCCUCAGUAGGGCGGAGGACGAUCCUGUCGUUGGCGCCAGCGGCUGGGGCAGCCAACCGGGGCAGCCUAGCCCCACGAUGGUGGUCAGGGUCAGCCACUUUUAAUGAGGGGAAAUUAAGUACACUUUAAUAAAACAUAGUACAAGUACACAAUGACCACGUAUUUGCAAUUUUUCUAACUGUACGUCCACACCAGAAGCGAAUUGAGCUACCAAAUCGCCGGAAGUCAUUCACUUUCUAUGGGCAAGAGCGACCAAAGCGACCAACGCUACCAGCGGCCAAAGUUGAGCGACCAGAGUGUCCAAAAAAAGUUGAAAACUUUUUAACUUUAUGCAAAUUACUAUGAUGUUCCUUUGUUCCUACCUACCUUUAUUCACUCACUGAACAAAAUGUCGGCUGAAGUAUUAAUCGCGGCUGUAACUGGGCACCCGGUGUUGUACGACCCAACCCUUUUUCAGUUCAGAGAUCGAAACGCCAUAGUGGUUUGGAUACCAAGUGAUGAUAAGCGGGAGUAUUUAUACAUCUAGAACGUUCGUAUUUAAGCGGGAAUCAUUUUUAUUAUCUCUCCAUGCCACCAAUCUAACCAACCAAUCGCGUGUAGCAUGCUUUAAACAAAACCAAAAAAGUUUUUGAAAUCGUCACAUAAACAAACUAAUCGACAAGACGAGGGAUAAAUGACAAGGGAUAUAUCUAUUUUCUUUUAUCCCUCUAUUCCCCACUAUUCACGGAGCCUUAGGUGAAUAAUUGUUAAUUAAAUAGUCUAGAUAGAUAGAUAGCCUAGUCAAGUCUUUAUUAAUACCAAACGACACAAAUCGUCGGGAAUCCAUUUAGGUGGUUCGGCCCACACAGGACAGUAGCCUACAAGACCACACAGAACAAGUCUGACUGGACAUACACACAAUACAUCACAUUAAAACUAGACACGCGUUGAUAGAUAGAUAGACAGAUAGGCCUAGAUAGAUAGAUAUGUUCCAUUAUUUGCCUUGCGGAGCCAACCAGUCCUGUGCACGUAUGCAAAUUAGCCAUGUGCGCCAAUGUCUAUUUGUUUUGAGUGUGACGAAUGAGUGCAGAUCAUGAUUUGCAGAUGCAGAUCAGUGAAACAUAUUUUAACUAGCCUACUACAGCACGCAGGGUUUUUUGUUCUCGGUUGUAAUUAGCCUACAUUUUAGGAGUUUUUUUAUAUUGGGGGGAAUCACUGUCCUACUUGUUGUCGAAGCACUUUAUCCAACAAGCAAAACCGUCUCGGCAAUAUGGCCAAAGUGUAUGGGAGAGUUCACUCUUUGAUAUGGCUGUCUGUACUAAAAGCAUACGGCUCCUUUAAAUGCGUCUGCAUAAUUGAAUUGUACGUCAUGAGCGACUUGAGCGACCAAAGCGAACAGAAAUAUUCGCAGCGAAACUUUGUGAGCGACCAAAGCGUGGUCGCUCCUGGUGUGGACGUAC